RNAcentral lists this ribosomal RNA (496 nucleotides) under uncultured bacterium. Its description in RNAcentral is "partial 16S ribosomal RNA". It matches the Rfam family "Bacterial small subunit ribosomal RNA", at positions 29 to 507 of the family's 1533-position model. The record is from RNAcentral.
AUGAACGCUGGCGGCGUGCCUCAUCCAUGCAAGUCGCGCGAACAGACGAGGAGCUUGCUCCUCUGACGUUAGCGGCGGACGGGUGAGUAACACGUGGAUAACCUACCUAUAAGACUGGGAUAACUUCGGGAAACCGGAGCUAAUACCGGAUAAUAUAUUGAACUGCAUGGUUCAAUAGUGAAAGACGGUUUUGCUGUCACUUAUAGAUGGAUCCGCGCCGCAUUAGCUAGUUGGUAAGGUAACGGCUUACCAAGGCAACGAUGCGUAGCCGACCUGAGAGGGUGAUCGGCCACACUGGAACUGAGACACGGUCCAGACUCCUACGGGAGGCAGCAGUAGGGAAUCUUCCGCAAUGGGCGAAAGCCUGACGGAGCAACGCCGCGUGAGUGAUGAAGGUCUUCGGAUCGUAAAACUCUGUUAUUAGGGAAGAACAAAUGUGUAAGUAACUAUGCACGUCUUGACGGUACCUAAUCAGAAAGCCACGGCUAACUACGUG